GAGAAGCCUGUGGGCAGGGGCCGUGCAGCCUGUCAGCCUCAGGCUCCUCACACCUGCUGCGGACGCAGAAGUCCAUCCCUAGGAGCACAGAAAGGGCCCCUCCGUUCUCCCCAUGGAAGUGGCACGUUCAGGACGAGGGUCACUGGUCCAGGUGGGCUGAUGUCUACCUUCCUGCCUGACACUCAUAAAGGCCACGCACACAACCUCCAGCUCACUAACGAGGAGUGCCUUUCGACCCAACAAAAGAAGCUCUGAGGAAAAUACGGCCUGCUGUUUUUUUCCCUUAAAGAACUGUGAAGAUCAAACUGUUUUGUUUGAACUUCUGAGGGCACCCGUAUAUCGCAUCAAUACAUAAGUAGAUGUCAAAGACCAAGUGAGUUCUUGGUGGUGUGUGUGUGUGAAGUCACCCGUCUUGCUUACCUCCCAUAAUUCUAGAAAAGCCUAUGGCUUAGCCAUCUGGGCCAGUGAGUUGUAUGUCCACACCCUUAGCAUGAAGAUACAGCCUCAUUUCCCAUGACAGGAAUCUCUUAGCCUUGCCCAACUGAACACUCUCCCACAGCAUUUAAAGA
This is a non-coding RNA of Kogia breviceps (pygmy sperm whale), 569 nucleotides long. Lineage: Eukaryota; Metazoa; Chordata; Mammalia; Artiodactyla; Physeteridae. The record is from RefSeq and is a predicted model, not a curated record.